This 159-nucleotide ribosomal RNA is filed under the name Chaetomium sp. R01. Its description in RNAcentral is "5.8S ribosomal RNA". The stretch from base 1 to 129 matches the Rfam family "5.8S ribosomal RNA", at positions 26 to 154 of the family's 154-position model. From Rfam's summary of the family: 5.8S ribosomal RNA (5.8S rRNA) is a component of the large subunit of the eukaryotic ribosome. It is transcribed by RNA polymerase I as part of the 45S precursor that also contains 18S and 28S rRNA. Functionally, it is thought that 5.8S rRNA may be involved in ribosome translocation. Lineage: Eukaryota; Fungi; Ascomycota; Sordariomycetes; Sordariales; Chaetomiaceae. The record is from RNAcentral.
UCUGGCAUCGAUGAAGAACGCAGCGAAAUGCGAUAAGUAAUGUGAAUUGCAGAAUUCAGUGAAUCAUCGAAUCUUUGAACGCACAUUGCGCCCGCCAGUACUCUGGCGGGCAUGCCUGUUCGAGCGUCAUUUCAACCAUCAAGCCCCCGGGCCUGUGUU